RNAcentral lists this ribosomal RNA (512 nucleotides) under actinobacterium enrichment culture clone E92. Its description in RNAcentral is "bacterial SSU rRNA". It matches the Rfam family "Bacterial small subunit ribosomal RNA", at positions 108 to 635 of the family's 1533-position model. Lineage: Bacteria; Bacillati; Actinomycetota; Actinomycetes. The record is from RNAcentral.
GAGUAACACGUGAGCAACCUGCCCCUGACUCUGGGAUAAGCCUUGGAAACGAGGUCUAAUACCGGAUAUGACGCUCCUACGCAUGUGGGGGUGUGGAAAGAAUUUCGGUCGGGGAUGGGCUCGCGGCCUAUCAGCUUGUUGGUGGGGUGAUGGCCUACCAAGGCGACGACGGGUAGCCGGCCUGAGAGGGCGACCGGCCACACUGGGACUGAGACACGGCCCANACUCCUACGGGAGGCAGCAGUGGGGAAUAUUGCACAAUGGGCGCAAGCCUGAUGCAGCGACGCCGCGUGAGGGAUGACGGCCUUCGGGUUGUAAACCUCUUUCAGCAGGGAAGAAGCGGAAGUGACGGUACCUGCAGAAGAAGCGCCGGCUAACUACGUGCCAGCAGCCGCGGUGAUACGUAGGGCGCAAGCGUUGUCCGGAAUUAUUGGGCGUAAAGAGCUCGUAGGCGGUCAGUCGCGUCUGCUGUGAAAACUCGAGGCUCAACCUCGGGCUUGCAGUGGGUACGG